CCAAGAGCUUAAUAAUAUUAAGAACUGUUACUAAAAAAAAAACAUUCUCCUAUUCAUCAUUGAAGAUGUUACCUGUCUAGACUAAAAUAUUAAUAUGUGCAGAGUAAAAUAUUGUAUGUUUUUUAAUUGUUUGUAGAAAAAUAGCAAAAAUGAUUGAUGACAAAACUUGGACCGAGAGAACUGCAGAUUCAUUUGAGGAAAUCCCAAGACAAAAAGGAGGCAACAACUGCGGUAUAUAUGUGCUGAUGUAUACACUUUACAUUGCUCUGGGUCAGAAGUUUGAUUUUACAGAGGAAGACAUGCCUUUCAUCAGAAGAUGGUGGUGUACUCUGCUGAUGACUAACUUCGCUGUGCAAAUGUAGGUGUAUAUUAUUUAAUGGUUCUUAUUGUGUGCGCAUGUGUAUAUUUUGUUUGUUUUUUAUAUUUUUACUUUUUGAUUUGAUGCAUUAAGGCCAAGAUGUAAGUUAUCUGAAGGAGAGGAUGGAAGUGAUGAGCCUCCUUUUAAGAAACAACGCCUCCAGGAACAAUCAGAUUGCAGAGGUAUACAUUGAUUUUUUUUUAUUAUUUUGAACAGUGUGAUAGAUUACAACCAAUCCAUUUGCUCAGAUAAGAUGAUGUACAAAUUUGCUUUAUACUCAUGCAGACAUUAUUUGGUUAGGUACACCUAACUAACUGAUUAACAGUCGACUGCAUGGUAGUUGCUAUUAAGUAAAUGCUAAAACAGAUACCCACAGAAAAAGAUUUUGAGUAUAAGGUGUUCUGCUCUAAUUGUGUUCUACGGUGUAAAGAAAUAAUUCAUAUGGAACCAAGGAAUAGGAUAAUAUGAAUUUAAAAUAAUUUAUUCAAUGCUUUCAUUAGAUCAGAGCUUAUGUGGCAUAGUCAGUGCUGAUUGCUAUUUAUUUGCCUGACAGCUGCAGUCCUGACUAGAUAUCUUCAUGU
This 939-nucleotide long non-coding RNA is filed under the name Astyanax mexicanus (Mexican tetra). Its description in RNAcentral is "lncRNA (ENSAMXG00005011187.1)". The record is from RNAcentral. Lineage: Eukaryota; Metazoa; Chordata; Actinopteri; Characiformes; Acestrorhamphidae.